AUUGAACGCUGGCGGCAGGCCUAACACAUGCAAGUCGAGCGAGCGGCGGACGGGUGAGUAAUGUCUGGGGAACUGCCCGAUGGAGGGGGAUAACUACUGGAAACGGUGGCUAAUACCGCAUACUGUCUGAUGUGCCCAGAUGGGAUUAGCUAGUAGGUGGGGUAACGGCUCACCUAGGCGACGAUCCCUAGCUGGUCUGAGAGGAUGACCAGCCACACUGGAACGGAGACACGGCCCAGACUCCUACGGGAGGCAGCAGUGGGGAAUAUUGCACAAUGGGCGCAAGCCUGAUACAGCCAUGCCGCGUGUGUGAAGAAGGCCUUCGGGUUGUAAAGCACUUUCAGUGGGGAGGCGUUACCCGCAGAAGAAGCACCGGCUAACUCCGUGCCAGCAGCCGCGGUAAUAC
Molecule: ribosomal RNA, 406 nt
Filed under: uncultured bacterium
Lineage: Bacteria
Description: partial 16S ribosomal RNA
Rfam family: Bacterial small subunit ribosomal RNA
Source: RNAcentral